Molecule: ribosomal RNA, 424 nt
Filed under: uncultured bacterium
Lineage: Bacteria
Description: bacterial SSU rRNA
Rfam family: Bacterial small subunit ribosomal RNA
Source: RNAcentral
UGGGGAAUCUUGGACAAUGGGCGCAAGCCUGAUCCAGCCAUGCCGCGUGGAUGAUGAAGGCCUUAGGGUUGUAAAAUCCUUUCGUUGGGGACGAUAAUGACGGUACCCAAAGAAGAAGCUCCGGCUAACUUCGUGCCAGCAGCCGCGGUAAUACGAAGGGGGCUAGCGUUGUUCGGAUUUACUGGGCGUAAAGCGCGUGUAGGCGGGUCGUUAAGUUGGAGGUGAAAUCCCAAGGCUCAACCUUGGAACUGCCUUCAAAACUGGCGACCUGGACUCAAGCAGAGGCAAGUGGAAUUGCGAGUGUAGAGGUGAAAUUCGUAGAUAUUCGCAGGAACACCAGUGGCGAAGGCGACUUGCUGGGCUUGUAGUGACGCUGAGACGCGAAAGCGUGGGGAGCAAACAGGAUUAGAUACCCGUGUAGUCC